RNAcentral lists this ribosomal RNA (239 nucleotides) under uncultured bacterium. Its description in RNAcentral is "partial 16S ribosomal RNA". It matches the Rfam family "Bacterial small subunit ribosomal RNA", at positions 15 to 235 of the family's 1533-position model. The record is from RNAcentral.
GAUCAUGGCUCAGGACGAACGCUGGCGGCGUGCCUAACACAUGCAAGUCGAACGGAACUUCCUCAAAAGAUUUCUUCGGAAUGAAUUUGAUUAAGUUUAGUGGCGGACGGGUGAGUAACGCGUGAGUAACCUGCCUCUAAGAGGGGAAUAACAUUCUGAAAAGAAUGCUAAUACCGCAUAAUAUAUAUUUAUCGCAUGGUAGAUAUAUCAAAGAUUUAUCGCUUAGAGAUGGACUCGCG